UUUCCGUAGGUGAACCUGCGGAAGGAUCAUUAAAAAUGAAGCCGGGAAACCGGUCCUUCUCACCCUGGAUUAUCUCAAUUUGUUGCUUUGGUGGGCCGCGCAAGCACCGGCUUCGGCUGGAUCGUGCCCGCCAGAGGACCACAACUCUGUAUUAUAUGUCGUCUGAGUACUAUAAAAUAGUUAAAACUUUCAACAACGGAUCUCUUGGUUCUG
RNAcentral lists this unclassified non-coding RNA (213 nucleotides) under plant metagenome. RNAcentral describes it as "partial contains small subunit ribosomal RNA, internal transcribed spacer 1, and 5.8S ribosomal RNA". The record is from RNAcentral.